GAUGAACGCUGGCGGCGUGCCUAAUACAUGCAAGUCGAGCGAACGGACGAGAAGCUUGCUUCUCUGAUGUUAGCGGCGGACGGGUGAGUAACACGUGGAUAACCUACCUAUAAGACUGGGAUAACUUCGGGAAACCGGAGCUAAUACCGGAUAAUAUUUUGAACCGCAUGGUUCAAAAGUGAAAGACGGUCUUGCUGUCACUUAUAAAUGGAUCCGCGCUGCAUUAGCUAGUUGGUAAGGUAACGGCUUACCAAGGCAACGAUGCAUAGCCGACCUGAGAGGGUGAUCGGCCACACUGGAACUGAGACACGGUCCAGACUCCUACGGGAGGCAGCAGUAGGGAAUCUUCCGCAAUGGGCGAAAGCCUGACGGAGCAACGCCGCGUGAGUGAUGAAGGUCUUCGGAUCGUAAAACUCUGUUAUUAGGGAAGAACAUAUGUGUAAGUAACUGUGCACAUCUUGACGGUACCUAAUCAGAAAGCCACGGUUAACUACGUG
This 497-nucleotide ribosomal RNA is filed under the name uncultured bacterium. RNAcentral describes it as "partial 16S ribosomal RNA". It matches the Rfam family "Bacterial small subunit ribosomal RNA", at positions 28 to 507 of the family's 1533-position model. The record is from RNAcentral.